Long non-coding RNA from Dreissena polymorpha, 241 nucleotides. RefSeq lists it as uncharacterized. The record is from RefSeq and is a predicted model, not a curated record. NCBI's taxonomy places the organism in Eukaryota, Metazoa, Mollusca, Bivalvia, Myida, Dreissenidae. The transcript is spliced from 3 exons.
UUGUCCACGUUGUAUUAUAAUUAUUUGGCUUUGCGUUGCAUUUGAUCAUAUAGUAAGAUGCAUCUGUUGCUGCAACUCUCUCUGGCAUGUUCGAUCAUUGCCGGAUGUUCUACGCAGACUCGGCGCCCUGGCAUGCGGUGCUAUUACAAAGGACAAUGGUACGCGCACGGUUCAACGUUCCAAGACGAAUGCAAUACUUGCUGUUGCUACAACGGGUCUGUAAGCUGUACAGAAUUUGCAU